Dreissena polymorpha is the source of this 871-nucleotide long non-coding RNA. RefSeq lists it as uncharacterized. The record is from RefSeq and is a predicted model, not a curated record. The transcript has 4 exons. NCBI's taxonomy places the organism in Eukaryota, Metazoa, Mollusca, Bivalvia, Myida, Dreissenidae.
AGCUACAUCAAGUAGCAACCAGUUUAUAGCUGGGGAUGACAUUGUCCUAUACGACAACAAGCUUGUCGAUGAUGGUGGUGCUUUGGACCUUUCUACGGGUAUAUUCACUGCAAAAUCUAGUGGCUACUACGUGUUCCAUUUCCACAGCACGACCAUGCAACAUGAAGAUCUUUGGCUGGAACUCUGGGUGAACAAUAUCUACGUUUGCUCUAUUCAUGCCCUCACUGAUUUUGACUGGGCAAGCGCGGGCAACGCGGCUGUCUUGCACUUGCUCGCUGGGGACCAGGCUGCGAUUUUAUCAAAGUAUGGACAUGAAAACCGUAUAAUGGGUUCAACUGAUUAUAUGUUCGUUUUCUGGGGCGCAGAUAGUUUCAGACGAAGACUUAAAGAACCCAGAUACGGAGCCUGUUUUGAUUUUCUCAGUAGGACUCACUAAAAACAUUUCCUUGAAUAAUGGAAGGUUGUCAUAUUCGACCGAGUGUUUGCUGAUUUGAAGCGAUCCUACAACAUAAACACGGGCAUGUUUGUGGUUCCCGCGACAGGAUUGUAUGAAUUUCACUACCACUGCAUAUCGAGCAAAAAUAACUACAUGUCUCUUGCACUGGUCAAAGGAAAUAGCGUCGUCAAUGGCUUCAACAAAAUUCGCAACCGAGUCCACACCGCCUAUGCCAGCAACGCGGCUGUCUUGCAACUGACGGCUGGAGAAACAGUUUCGGUACAGUCCAAGUACAGCUACGUCUACCUCGUUGGUUCUGUAAACGGUGUAUUCUGCACGUUUUCGGGUUAUAUGCUGCGUUCAACGGGCCCUAGCAUCGGCUAGAUGUUUUUUCCUUGACCUUUAUUAUACUAUUCAAUAAAUAGUUGAGAGCAU